CCUACGGGUGGCUGCAGUGGGGAAUCUUGGACAAUGGGGGAAACCCUGAUGCAGCGACGCCGCGUGAGUGAAGAAGUAUUUCGGUACGUAAAGCUCUAUCAGCAGGAAAGAAAAUGACGGUACCUGACUAAGAAGCCCCGGCUAACUACGUGCCAGCAGCCGCGGUAAUACGUAGGGGGCAAGCGUUAUCCGGAUUUACGGGGUGAAAAGGGAACGUAGACGGCAGUGCAAGUCUGGAGUGAAAUGCCGGGGCCCAACCCCGGAACUGCUCUGGAAACUGUGAGGCUGGAGUGCAGGAGAGGGAAGCGGAAGUCCAGGUGUAGCGGUGAAAUGCGUAGAUAUAAGGAGGAACACCGGCGGCGAAGGCGGCUUACUGGACUGUAACUGACGUUGAGGCUCGAAGGCGUGGGGAGCAAACAGGAUUAGAUACCCGGGUAGUC
Molecule: ribosomal RNA, 440 nt
Filed under: uncultured bacterium
Lineage: Bacteria
Description: partial 16S ribosomal RNA
Rfam family: Bacterial small subunit ribosomal RNA
Source: RNAcentral